This 1470-nucleotide ribosomal RNA is filed under the name metagenome. RNAcentral's name for it is "bacterial SSU rRNA". It matches the Rfam family "Bacterial small subunit ribosomal RNA". The record is from RNAcentral.
GGGUUUGAUCCUGGCUCAGAACGAACGUUGGCGGCGUGGAUUAGCAUGCAAGUCGAACGAAUCCCCGGGGGCUUGCUCUCGGGGGGAAGUGGCGAAAGGGGCAGUAAGGCAUGGGUAACUUACCCCGCGGUCAGGAAUAGCCAUUCUAACGAAUGGGUAAUACUUGAUAGUCCGGAAUCGGGACAUCCCGGAGCCGGUAAAGAAUUUCGCCGUGGGAGGGGCUCAUGUAGUAUUAGCUAGUUGGUGGGGUAACGGCCCACCAAGGCUGAGAUGCUUAGCGGGUGUGAGAGCACGACCCGCGCCACUGGCACUGCGACACUGGCCAGACUCCUACGGGAGGCUGCAGUCGAGGAUCUUCCGCAAUGGGCGAAAGCCUGACGGAGCGACGCCGCGUGUGCGAUGAAGGCCUUCGGGUUGUAAAGCACUUUGGUGGGGGAGGAAAGCCGAAAGGUUUGACCGAUCCCAAGAACAAGCUCGGGCUAAGUUCGUGCCAGCAGCCGCGGUAAGACGAACCGAGCGAACGUUGUUCGGAAUCACUGGGCUUAAAGGGCGCGUAGGCGGGUUCCCAAGUCUGUGGUGAAAUCCUCCAGCUUAACUGGAGAACGGCCUCGGAUACUGGGAGCCUCGAGGACGGUAGGGGCGUGCGGAACAGUAGGUGGAGCGGUGAAAUGCGUUGAUAUCUACUGGAACUCCGGUGGCGAAGGCGGCACGCUGGACCGUUACUGACGCUGAGGCGCGAAAGCCAGGGGAGCAAACGGGAUUAGAUACCCCGGUAGUCCUGGCCCUAAACGUUGGGUACUAGAUAGUAGCCUUCACAUGGGGUUACUGUCGCAGCAAAAGUGUUAAGUACCCCGCCUGGGGAGUAUGGUCGCAAGGCUGAAACUCAAAGGAAUUGACGGGGGCUCACACAAGCGGUGGAGCAUGUGGCUUAAUUCGAGACUACGCGAAGAACCUUAUCCUAGGCUUGACAUAUGCGAAAGCGUCUGGUGUAGCCGUUGGAAACUUCGGUGAACCCCGCAAGGGGGGACCAGAUACAGGUGCUGCAUGGCUGUCGUCAGCUCGUGUCGUGAGAUGUCGGGUUAAGUCCCAUAACGAGCGGAACCCUUACCCUUAGUUGCCACCGGCUUCGGCCGAGCACUCUGGGGGGACUGCCGGUGUCAAACCGGAGGAAGGUGGGGAUGACGUCAAGUCCUCAUGGCCUUUAUGCCUAGGGCUGCACACGUGCUACAAUGGCGUGAACAGAGGGACGCAAAAAGCGCGAGCUCAAGCAAAUCCCAAAAAACACGCCCCAGUUCAGAUCGAAGGCUGCAACUCGCCUUCGUGAAGUCGGAAUCGCUAGUAAUCGCAGGUCAGCAACACUGCGGUGAAUGUGUUCCUGAGCCUUGUACACACCGCCCGUCAAGCCACGAAAGGGGGGACUGGCCCAAGUCGCCGUUACAGGCGCCUAAGCCAGGCUCCCUGAUUGGGACU